GACGAACGCUGGCGGCGUGCUUAACACAUGCAAGUCGAACGGAAAGGCCCUGCUUUUGUGGGGUGCUCGAGUGGCGAAGGGGGGAGUAACACGUGAGUAUCCUGCCCUUGACUUUGGGAUAACUUCACGAAACUGGGGCUAAUAUCCGGUAGGAUCUCCUGAUGCGUGGUGGUGGUUGGAAAGUUUCGGCUUUUGUGGCUGGACUCGAGGCUUAUCAGCUUGAUGGUCAGGUAGUGGCUUCCCAAGGCUUUGACGGGUAGCCGGCCUGAGAGGGUGGCCGGCCACAUUGGGCCUGAGAUACGGACCAGAAUCCUACGGGCGGCAGCAGUGGGGAAUAUUGCACAAUGGGCGGAAGCCUGAUGCAGCAACGCCGCGUGCGGAAUGCCGGCCUUCGGGUUGUAAACAGAUUUCGAAUGUGACGAAGCGUGAGUGACGGUAAUGGGUCAAGAAGCACCGGCUAACUACGUG
RNAcentral lists this ribosomal RNA (468 nucleotides) under uncultured bacterium. RNAcentral describes it as "partial 16S ribosomal RNA". It matches the Rfam family "Bacterial small subunit ribosomal RNA", at positions 28 to 507 of the family's 1533-position model. The record is from RNAcentral.